ACACAUGCAGUCGAACGGCAGCAUGAUCUAGCUUGCUAGAUUGAUGGCGAGUGGCGAACGGGUGAGUAAUACAUCGGAACGUGCCCUGUAGUGGGGGAUAACUAGUCGAAAGAUUAGCUAAUACCGCAUACGACCUGAGGGUGAAAGUGGGGGACCGCAAGGCCUCAUGCUAUAGGAGCGGCCGAUGUCUGAUUAGCUAGUUGGUGAGGUAAAGGCUCACCAAGGCGACGAUCAGUAGCUGGUCUGAGAGGACGAUCAGCCACACUGGGACUGAGACACGGCCCAGACUCCUACGGGAGGCAGCAGUGGGGAAUUUUGGACAAUGGGCGAAAGCCUGAUCCAGCAAUGCCGCGUGUGUGAAGAAGGCCUUCGGGUUGUAAAGCACUUUUGUCCGGAAAGAAAUGGCUCUGGUUAAUACCUGGGGUCGAUGACGGUACCGGAAGAAUAAGGACCGGCUAACUACGUGCCAGCAGCCGCGGUAAUACGUAGGGUCCAAGCGUUAAUCGGAAUUACUGGGCGUAAAGCGUGCGCAGGCGGUUGUGCAAGACCGAUGUGAAAUCCCCGAGCUUAACUUGGGAAUUGCAUUGGUGACUGCACGGCUAGAGUGUGUCAGAGGGGGGUAGAAUUCCACGUGUAGCA
This 639-nucleotide ribosomal RNA is filed under the name unidentified microorganism. RNAcentral's name for it is "bacterial SSU rRNA". It matches the Rfam family "Bacterial small subunit ribosomal RNA", at positions 51 to 680 of the family's 1533-position model. The record is from RNAcentral.